RNAcentral lists this transfer RNA (68 nucleotides) under Australolacerta australis. RNAcentral's name for it is "tRNA-Arg". Lineage: Eukaryota; Metazoa; Chordata; Lepidosauria; Squamata; Lacertidae. The record is from RNAcentral.
GAGGGUUAGUUUAACAAAAACAAUUAAUUUCGACUUAAUAACUUCUGAUUCUCACCAGAACCCUUAAC